AAGGAUCAUUAAUAGAGAUAGAGACUUCACCCGUCUCGAACCUCCAUCCCUUGUGAACAAAUGUUACCUUUGUUGCUUCGGUGCCUCAUCGCACCGAUAAUACCAUUCAAAUUCCUUUCAAAUUAUAUAUUGUCUGAAUAAUAAAAUUAAAAUUAAAUAAAACUUUCAACAACGGAUCUCUUGGUUCUGGCAUCGAUGAAGAACGCAGCGAAAUGCGAUAAGUAAUGUGAAUUGCAGAAUUCAGUGAAUCAUCGAAUCUUUGAACGCACAUUGCACCUUUUGGUAUUCCGAAAGGUAUGCCUGUCCGAGCGUCAUUUCACCUCUCAAACUUCAGUUUGGUGUUGGGCUUGUGUUGACUUGUUCAAUGGCCUCAAAAUCAAUGGCGGCGCGACAUCGAUCCCAAGCGUAGUGACACUAUUUCUGCUUUGGUGAUGGAUGUUGUGAUGGCUAAAAUUUGACGACUCUGUGUCUGACCUAUUACGAUUGACCUCGGAUCAGGUAGGGAUACCCGCUGAACUUAA
Molecule: ribosomal RNA, 521 nt
Filed under: Icmadophila ericetorum (peppermint drop lichen)
Lineage: Eukaryota; Fungi; Ascomycota; Lecanoromycetes; Pertusariales; Icmadophilaceae
Description: eukaryotic LSU rRNA
Rfam family: 5.8S ribosomal RNA (bases 161-314)
Source: RNAcentral